This is a long non-coding RNA of Acanthochromis polyacanthus (spiny chromis), 1017 nucleotides long. RefSeq lists it as uncharacterized. Lineage: Eukaryota; Metazoa; Chordata; Actinopteri; Pomacentridae. The record is from RefSeq and is a predicted model, not a curated record. The transcript is spliced from 2 exons.
GACAUAGUCUUCGAAACUAGCUGUCACCCAGAGUCGUAAACAAACGUUUAGAUUUGUUUGUCCAUUACUGUCUCAAAACCCUAAAUUUAAAGCAUCAACUCUUAAUGAAAAGACCAUGAUUAAAAUCAAUGAAAGAAGUGAAAUCAACCCAUCUAAAAUGAAACAAAUGUACACUACUGUUCAAAAGUUUGGGGCCACUUAGAAAUGUCCUUAUUUUUGAAAGAAAUGCAUUUUUUUCAAUGAAGAUAACAUUCAGUGAAAUAGAAACACAGUCUAGACAUUGUUAAUGUGGUAAAUGGUUAUUCUAGCUGAGAAUGUUACGCCCUCCGUUUCUGAAUCAGGAUAGUGGCAGGUUUUCUUUUCCUCUUUUCCGCCUCCCUCUAUCUCUCUCGCAGGUGAGCAUGUGUGCGUGGAGCAGGCGCUGCCUAUCUAAUCAAGUGGGAUCGGCACGCAAGCAGUCUGGAGUCCUGCCUGCUCGUGCUCACCUGGAUUCUCUCCCACCCAUCAAGCCAUACACACCUCUGUUGGAACCCUGGACCUGUCUGCUCUCAAUUCCCCAUCUGCCUAAACCAAGCCCACACCAGUAGGUACUGCAACUGCAGCACCUGUCCUUGGCAACCAACCUCUUGCUACACACUACUUUUCCCCUGCCAUGGCCACACCGCUCACCAUCAGUUAAGUUCCCACUUGAUCUCCAAGCUAGAUAUGGUUUAGUGUUUUUAGUUGUGUUUGGUUAGUUUCUAGCUAAAUCAUUUCGUAGUUCAGCCAAUUAGUCAUUUAUAUCUUGUUUUUUGUUGAUCAGCUUUCCUGCCUAGGUCCUACCUUGUGUGGGUUAGUGUUAAAUUUGUAUAUUUCUGUGCACACUCUAGUGGUAGUUCUGCCAGUUCACUAGAGGGCCCAAUGCCCUGUACAGUCCCUGUAUACUUCCUGUACCCUACAUAUAUCCUGUUGUCGUCCUUUAACUGUAUUUGUAGUUCUGUAUACCUUAUUUCUUGGAAGUAAAUGUCAUAAUAUUCA